This 266-nucleotide ribosomal RNA is filed under the name uncultured soil bacterium. RNAcentral describes it as "partial 16S ribosomal RNA". It matches the Rfam family "Bacterial small subunit ribosomal RNA", at positions 26 to 285 of the family's 1533-position model. The record is from RNAcentral.
AGGACGAACGCUGGCGGCGUGCUUAACACAUGCAAGUCGAGCGGAAAGGCCUUUCGGGGUACUCGAGCGGCGAACGGGUGAGUAACACGUGAGUAAUCUGCCCAUCGCUUCAGGAUAGCCGAAUCGGAAACGGUGAUUAAUACUGGAUAUGACAUUCCUUCGCUAGUGUUAGGGGUGUUGGAAAGUUUUUUCGGCGGUGGAUGGUGCUCGCGGCCUAUCUAGCGUUGGUUGGUGGGGUAAUGGCCUACCAAGGCGUUUGACGGGUA